GACGAACGCUGGCGGCGUGCCUAAUACAUGCAAGUAGAACGCUGAAGGAGGAGCUUGCUUCUCUGGAUGAGUUGCGAACGGGUGAGUAACGCGUAGGUAACCUGCCUGGUAGCGGGGGAUAACUAUUGGAAACGAUAGCUAAUACCGCAUAAGAGUAGAUGUCGCAUGACAUUUGCUUAAAGGGUGCAAUUGCAUCACUACCAGAUGGACCUGCGUUGUAUUAGCUAGUUGGUGAGGUAACGGCUCACCAAGGCAACGAUACAUAGCCGACCUGAGAGGGUGAUCGGCCACACUGGGACGGAGACACGGCCCAGACUCCUACGGGAGGCAGCAGUAGGGAAUCUUCGGCAAUGGACGGAAGUCUGACCGAGCAACGCCGCGUGAGUGAAGAAGGUUUUCGGAUCGUAAAGCUCUGUUGUAAGAGAAGAACGAGUGUGAGAGUGGAAAGUUCACACUGUGACGGUAUCUUACCAGAAAGGGACGGCUAACUACGUG
RNAcentral lists this ribosomal RNA (495 nucleotides) under uncultured bacterium. Its description in RNAcentral is "partial 16S ribosomal RNA". It matches the Rfam family "Bacterial small subunit ribosomal RNA", at positions 28 to 507 of the family's 1533-position model. The record is from RNAcentral.